AACGAACGCUGGCGGCAGGCUUCAUACAUGCAAGUCGAACGGCCCGCAAGGGCAGUGGCGCACGGGUGCGUAACACGUGGGAAUAUGCCCUUCAGUACGGAACAACGUCGGGAAACUAACGCUAAUACCGUAUAAUGUCUCCGGACCAAAGAUUUAUCGCUGAAGGAUUAGCCCGCGUCUGAUUAGGUAGUUGGAGAGGUAAUGGCUCACCAAGCCGACGAUCAGUAGCUGGUCUGAGAGGAUGAUCAGCCACACUGGGACUGAGACACGGCCCAGACUCCUACGGGAGGCAGCAGUAAGGGAUAUUGGACAAUGGGGGAAACCCUGAUCCAGCCAUGCCGCGUGAGUGAAGAAGGCCUUCGGGUUGUAAAGCUCUUUUACCCCUGACGAUAAUGACGGUAAGGGAAGAAAAAGCCACGGCUAACUUCGUGCCAGCCGCCGCAGUAA
Molecule: ribosomal RNA, 447 nt
Filed under: uncultured bacterium
Lineage: Bacteria
Description: partial 16S ribosomal RNA
Rfam family: Bacterial small subunit ribosomal RNA
Source: RNAcentral